RNAcentral lists this transfer RNA (75 nucleotides) under Candidatus Komeilibacteria bacterium RIFCSPLOWO2_01_FULL_45_10. RNAcentral describes it as "tRNA-Cys". It matches the Rfam family "tRNA". Rfam says of the family: Transfer RNA (tRNA) molecules are approximately 80 nucleotides in length. Their secondary structure includes four short double-helical elements and three loops (D, anti-codon, and T loops). The record is from RNAcentral. Lineage: Bacteria; Candidatus Komeiliibacteriota.
GGCCACGUACCCAAGUGGUUAAGGGAGAGGUCUGCAAAACCUUUAUCACCGGUUCGAAUCCGGUCGUGGCCUCCA